UACAGAGGUCUCAAGCGUUGUUCGGAUUCAUUGGGCGUAAAGGGUGCGUAGGCGGCGCGGUAAGUCGGGUGUGAAAUCUCGGAGCUUAACUCCGAAACUGCAUUCGAUACUGCCGUGCUUGAGGACUGGAGAGGAGACUGGAAUUUACGGUGUAGCGGUGAAAUGCGUAGAUAUCAGCAGGAACACCCGUGGCGAAGGCGGCUUCCUGGGCCGCACCUGACGCUGAGGCGCGAAAGCGUGGGGAGCGAACGGG
RNAcentral lists this ribosomal RNA (253 nucleotides) under uncultured bacterium. RNAcentral's name for it is "partial 16S ribosomal RNA". It matches the Rfam family "Bacterial small subunit ribosomal RNA", at positions 524 to 776 of the family's 1533-position model. The record is from RNAcentral.